Molecule: ribosomal RNA, 397 nt
Filed under: uncultured bacterium
Lineage: Bacteria
Description: partial 16S ribosomal RNA
Rfam family: Bacterial small subunit ribosomal RNA
Source: RNAcentral
AUACGUAGGGGGCAAGCGUUAUCCGGAUUUACUGGGUGUAAAGGGAGCGUAGACGGUUUGGCAAGUCUGAUGUGAAAGCCCGGGGCUCAACCGCGGGACUGCAUUGGAAACUGUCAGACUUGAGUGCAGGAGAGGUAAGUGGAAUUCCUAGUGUAGCGGUGAAAUGCGUAGAUAUUAGGAGGAACACCGGUGGCGAAGGCGGCUUACUGGUAUGUAAAUGACGUUCAGGCUCGAAAGCGUGGGGAGCAAACAGGAUUAGAUACCCUGGGAGUCCACGCCGUAAACGAUGAAUACUAGGUGUUGGGAGACAAUAGUUUCUCGGUGCCGCAGCAAACGCAAUAAGUAUUCCACCUGGGGAGUACGUUCGCAAGAAUGAAACUCAAAUGAAUUGACGGGG